Molecule: ribosomal RNA, 200 nt
Filed under: uncultured prokaryote
Description: partial 16S ribosomal RNA
Rfam family: Bacterial small subunit ribosomal RNA
Source: RNAcentral
UCCGGAGGGUGCGAGCGUUGUCCGUCCUCCCUUUUCUUCCCUUUCUCUUAGGUGGCGACGCAAGUCAACGGUGAAAGCUCGACGCUCAACGUCGAGUCGGCCGUCGAGACUGCGUUGCUCGAGCACUGUAGAGGCAGAUGGAAUUCCGGGUGUAGCGGUGGAAUGCGUAGAGAUCCGGAAGAACACCGGUGGCGAAGGCG